AACAAACAAGGGAGAGAGGACAAGAUUCCUAAACACGGUGUACGGGAACACCAUGUUACCCAUGGUAACUUGGGAAUGAUAAUGGUUGAGAAACCACUUCCUGUGUAUGACGGAAAAAUUGCACAAGCUUACUGUUGUCUGUUGUCCACUAUGUCUGAGUGGACCAAGUAAAGGAGUGAGAAAGAUGGGAGAAAGAUGGGAAAUGAGUCAAUGUGUAGUAGCUGCAGACCUCAUGUCUCUUUCCUCCUGCCUGGAGAAACCAACGUACAAGGGACCAAGAUUGGGAGUGACAUCUGGCAGUUUGAUAAAGUGGAUUUGGUUUCUUGGGGGCAAUUCCAAGCCGCUCUCCCUGGGCGCCAAGCCCCUCUCUGAGAAAGGAAAACACGUUCUACAGGAACAGGGGCUUAUCCACCGCUCCGCGUUCUCACAAGUCUCCCACGGUCUCCCAGGGGCCAUCACACAUUAACCCAAGGUCUUCCCUCCAUCAAAGACUUUACUAAUCUCAAGGCAGUGAAACAUCAAUGCAAUGAAACUAAGGGGUGAUGACCAUUUGUCUGCAACCACUUCUUCAGGAUCCACGGGUGAGAUUGGACAUUUCAGGCUAUAGAUCAAUACACUCUCGCGUUUGUUUACCCUUUUAUCCAAUUGCUGUUAUCCGAUCCAAAUUAUCUCUGGCUAUAUUCUUGAUGUGACAAAUCUUGCAGUGUUGUGAUUCUUUGUGAGAUUAUGCACAUUAAAUGAAAGAGCAGAUAUGUUUAAAUACAAAUGCAACCUGUUGAAACAAUGUUCAUGUUACAAAUAAUCCACUAAAGUGUCUACAUUUUGUUGUUUUUAUAUGUUAUUCUGACUGUGACUCUCCAUCAGAUGUCAUAGGGUUGAACUUGAGGUUUGUUAGCUUUGUCAACAAGGUCUGAAAAUGUAUAAUUAUAAACUCAAUACAACCGACACGUGCCUGUUGAGGUUGUCAUGAUUAAAUAGUGGGAUGGGGCAUUUGGUAAGAUGGAGCAACAAUUUUGGUAAAUUCCAUGAAUAUUCAUUAUUCUUUCUAUUGAGUAUAACAGCCUCCUGAAAUGUGACACCCCAAGACAGUCCAUAAUGCAAUGCAGUCAUACUGGUUUGCAAGUACCAAUUAGUUUUGUUUCAGUUGGUUGAAGCAUUUAAUGUGGGAUUUGUGCAACAUAACUAUUAGGAGCCAACAAUACACACUUUAGGAAAAGGACUCUAAUCGUAGGAAAAGGAAUCUCACCUUACAAGCAAAUUAACUUACAUUAUCCCAGGGCACUGGGCUGUAGAAUUCUCUGUUUAGAAUGUCCACUCCUUUCUCAGCAGAAACUAACAAAAAAGUGAAGCAGCAGUUAACCCUAUUUCUGGAUAUUUCAUAAUUUACCAAGUAAAAAAAAGUUUUUUGUCAAUUAUGGAACAAGUUGUGAAUGUUUUUCUUUCAUUAGCGUGAGCCCUAUUGGUAGUACAAUACAACUGGGUCAGGACCAAUAGUCAUGGUUUUAUUCAUUAGAGUUCUGAAUAACACAAAAGUAACUGUUUAUGAGGACUAUUCCAAAUUGUUCUGUACUGUAAUCUGCAUGCAUGAGGUCUGUGAUGUAGGCUACUGUGCCAGGUUACCAUUUAAAGUCGGGAGGGCUACAAUGUUUCUUGUCAUCGUCUCCAUCUAAGAUCCUCAUUGACACACAGAAGUACACUCUUUGGCCUCCUUUUUUCAUAACUACCCAAUAAACAGUUAGGUUACCACAUUUACAAUGUAAUUUAGGGAGUUUUUAAAUUCACAACAAAUAGCACCUCAGCUUCAAAUGACUGGAGAUUGAUGUGUCUUACCUGUGUAUGCCUCAAAUGUGGUUCAAUUAGGCUGUGGUUCUAACAAGUAAUAACAAGCACACAAAGUGUGCAAAAAAAAUACCUGUACAACCAAUGUGUAAAAUCCUGUUUUGAAAGUAUUAAAGUAGGUGUUUUGAUUGAAAUGUCUCUUUACCAGUUAUAUAAGUCAGCAUCAAUUCCUCCUACUGUCUUGUUAGAUCAAAACGAUGAUAUAUACUGUUUGAGUGUAGCCAGUCUGGCAGUGCUGGGCUUGCUGGCAUCUAUGGCUUGCAAAGUGAGGAAUAGACGGCUCUCCCUAUGGUUGCACUUUGAGGCUGGUGCCAGAGUGUCUCACCCUUGCAGGUUAGUAUGGGAACACAAUCCUACUGCAGGGGGUUCAUAGUCAAAACAGCUGGUAUUCUCUCACACAUAGCCAUGCAGAGUUCACCCACAGAGUGCACUGCAUACUGCAAAUUAAAUGUAGCAUUACAUUUUAUGUGUAAAUGUAGACUGUCAUGUUUUGUAUGUAUUUAUACAUUUCAAUUCCUUUAAAAUCACCACUCUAAAACUAUAUUUAAGAGUUUUAUGUCAAUUGUGGUCAGAGUGAAUAGAAAGUUAACUUUUAGAUUAUUAUAAAAUAGAAUAGUUGUAAUGUUAUUUAGGCCUUAUAACAUAACAUACAUGCAGACAUAACACAAAGACACACCAUGCCUGACUCAACAAAAACUACGGAUGAAAAAUGAAGGUAUGGAGGGUAAAUCUUAAAAGUGGGCAAAGAAACGUUCAUCUCAAACAUUGAAAACAUGCCCUCACCAUUGGUAAACUUGGUAUGUGUCAUUUUAAUGAUAUAAUAUUAAUAUUAACAAAAUGUUAAGUCAAUACACAGCAUAUUUAUCAAUGGCUAGCAAUGGCAAAAUAUAGUCAUCUUUCUAUAUA
Molecule: long non-coding RNA, 2745 nt
Organism: Hypomesus transpacificus
Lineage: Eukaryota; Metazoa; Chordata; Actinopteri; Osmeriformes; Osmeridae
Exons: 4
Source: RefSeq, a predicted model, not a curated record